Molecule: long non-coding RNA, 481 nt
Organism: Sitophilus oryzae (rice weevil)
Lineage: Eukaryota; Metazoa; Arthropoda; Insecta; Coleoptera; Curculionidae
Exons: 3
Source: RefSeq, a predicted model, not a curated record
GUUUGACAUUUCAAAAUAAACAUUUUAUUUUAGAUCAAAUUUGGACCAAAUUUAUUAGUUCAUCGGUUUUUAGUUCUUAUAUUAUAAUCCAUGGUUUUGCAUGAAAUCAAGCGUCGGAUUACCUAAAUGGUUAUAUAAUAAUAAAUACUUUGCUUCGCAGUUACUGCUAGACCCCUAGACGUGUAAACACAAACACUGACUCAUAACUUCGCUUGCUGAAACGAAAUGAUUACAUCAAAAGUGAGCAUUUUGUGUACAAAGAACAGAUAUGUUUUAUUUUUAUGGAAAUUCUUCACAUCCAUCAUAUACAACUCUGUAAAAGUCACAGGUCACAGGAAUAACUUCACAGGUUUUUCGAAAACCGUACAGAAAUAUAAACGAUUAGAAUGAAAUAAAAGAAAAAGGAACCUUUUCCAAGAAAGUCGUGAUUUGAAGUUUUUUUUCCUUAGGUCCAUAAAUAUUGAGAAUGAUAAAAAAAUUC